This 430-nucleotide long non-coding RNA is filed under the name Meleagris gallopavo (turkey). RNAcentral's name for it is "lncRNA (ENSMGAG00000019845.1)". The record is from RNAcentral. Lineage: Eukaryota; Metazoa; Chordata; Aves; Galliformes; Phasianidae.
UUAACGAAAUAGAAGUAGUUGAUGAGGUUUGCCAAGAACCAGUGAAAUAGAGGGUUUCUUGUUCACAGCUGUGGUUGCAGGAUACCUACAGAUGAUGGCAUGCCUUGAGGACAUUUUUGCAGAUUUAAUGUUUCCAGGAUAAUCUUCACAACUAGUGGGACAUUACCAGCCAGGAGAUGUUCACUUCAUUGGAGUCCUUUUGAUGGAGGAGUCCAUGGCACAAAUCCUAAAGAGGGCAGCAGAAUCCAACCUACACCUCCUGCCUGUUGCCAGCUGAAGCAGGCCGGUGCUGCUAAUUGAACGUGCUUUAUGUACGAGUGCUGUUCAGUACAUGCAUCCAGGACAUGCGGCGUAUCAUUCGGUGAUAUACAAACCGACUGGGACAAUUUACAAUGGUGAUUUUUCUACUGACGGGUCUAUGAGAUUGUGA